Molecule: long non-coding RNA, 414 nt
Filed under: Phoenix dactylifera (date palm)
Lineage: Eukaryota; Viridiplantae; Streptophyta; Magnoliopsida; Arecales; Arecaceae
Description: long non-coding RNA (PDAC_LNC013691)
Source: RNAcentral
CAAAAUAUUGGAUCCAUUAUCACCCAACUUAAUGGGAGGCUAUGACCUAGUUAUCCCCAUAACCAUUUCAUUUUAAGGACCUAAUAAUUUUAGAGGAUUUCUUAAUUAGGAUAAAUAAGAAAAUCCGGUUAGUCUAAUUUCUCCCACUGACUUCACCAAAUCAAAUUAGACUCAAACCGGUUAAGGAUGCACCUAAAUCAGUCAAACUGUUUUUCCUUAUAGGCAUGGGCUAACUCGAAUCAUUAAGUGAUCCAAUCAAAAUGUGAUUGACCAUGUCGGCCAGGUAAGUGAGAUCGGUGGAAGGAAUAUGCCAUUAACUCGACAAAGACGAAUCAGUGCGAAUAGCUCUCAAUUAAAAACCACCGGUCAAAACUGCCAAACUUACCUUAGACACUGACUGGUUAAUCAAUUUUG